GUAGGUGAACCUGCGGAGGGAUCAUUACAAGUGACCCCGGCUACGGCCGGGAUGUUCAUAACCCUUUGUUGUCCGACUCUGUUGCCUCCGGGGCGACCCUGCCUUCGGGCGGGGGCUCCGGGUGGACACUUCAAACUCUUGCGUAACUUUGCAGUCUGAGUAAACUUAAUUAAUAAAUUAAAACUUUUAACAACGGAUCUCUUGGCUCUC
RNAcentral lists this unclassified non-coding RNA (210 nucleotides) under rhizosphere metagenome. Its description in RNAcentral is "partial ribosomal RNA internal transcribed spacer region". The record is from RNAcentral.